GAAUGCACAGAGAUACCGUGACAAGAUCCUGAGGCUCAUUGUUGUGCCAUUCAUCCACGACCAUCACCUCAUGUUGGAGCAUGAUAAUGCACGGCCCCAUGUUGCAAGGAUCUGUACCCGUGUCCUGGAAGCUGAAAACAUCCGUUCUUGCAUGGCCAGCAUACUCACCGGACAUGUCACCCAUUGAGCAUGUUUGGGAGGUUCUGGAUCGGCGUCUUGAUAUGCCACACCUGUGAGGUGGGAUGGAUUAUCUUGGCAAAGGAAGUAGUGCUCACUAACACAGAUUUAGACAGAUUUGGGAACAAUAUUUGAGAGAAAUGGUGAUUUUGUGUAUAUAGAAAAGGUUUUAGAUCUUUGAGUUCAGCUCAUGAAAAAUGGGAGCAAAAACAAAAGUGUUGCAUUUAUAUUUUUGUUCAGUGUACUUACAAUGUUUAUCAUCAAUUGUCUUUAUUAUUUUUUAGAAGGUGUAGGGAACUUUGGUUUGCCCUUAUGGGCCAGAUGUGAUCAUAGUAUGGUGAGCCUGAUCAUGGUAUCUGAGAAUUUGGGUCAAAGGAUACCCUCUGGAAGCCCUGCAUAUAUCUGUUAUAAUAUCUGUUGAGCCGGGACAUUUUCUUCACUGCAAAGAAAAAAUCCAAAUGACUGGUCAGAAACAUAUUGAUAAAUUUGUGACAACUCAGAUUUUGUGCAAAGUACAGUCUGUGGGAGUAGGGGCAGCAAGGCUAUGGGGGCUACAGAGAGUUCAGGAGUCUGCCAGCUCCAGGAUAGAAGCUGUCUCGUUGUUUUGCUCUUGAUGCUCCGUAGCCUCCUGCCUGAGGGGAGGGGAUGUGUGUGCUGGGUGGGUGGGAUCUCUCAUGAUGCAGGUGGCCCUUUUCCUGCAUCUGGAGGUGAAUAUGUCUGUUGGUGGUGGGAAGGCUGCUGCCCACAGUUCUCUGUGCAGCUUUCACCACUCUCUGCCGAGCCUUCUUCUCUGCUGCAGAGCAGCUGCCGUGCCACACAGUGAUGCAGGAACACAGGACGCUCUCCACCACACAUCUGUAGAAGGUGAUAAGGACUGACAUCCCAAGUCCAGCGCGUCUCAGCCUCCUAAGAAAGCACAGGUGCUGGUGUGCCUUCCGGACCAGGCUGGAAGUGUUGCUGCGCCAGGUGAGGUCGUCCUUGAGGUGCACGCCCAGACCACUUCCACCGCUGUUCCUCCAAUGUGCAGGGGAGAAUGAGGGGGAUAUCUGCCCCUCCUGAAAUCCAUGAUCAUCUCCUUUGUUUUCUUUGUGUUGAUGCAGGGGUUGUUUUCCCUCUUCCACUUCCUGCCUGUAGCCGGACUCAUCGUUGUUGCUGAUGCAUCCAACCACUGCUGUGUCAUCAGCAAACUUCACAAUAUGACAGCUCGGAUGUUUAGGUGAGCAAGGUGAACAGAAGAGGGCUCAGCAUGCAGCCCUGGGGGAAGCCAAUGCUGAGGGUGAUGGAGGUGGAGGAGAUGUCGUGGAUCCUCACUGACUGUUGCCUGUCUGUCAGGAAGUCCAGGGCCCAGUUGCAGGGGGGGGGGCUCAGUCCGAGUGAAAAGAGUUUGUGGAUCAGGGUCUGUGGUAUGAUAGUGUUGAAGGCUGAUGUGAAGUCGAGGAAGAGUAGACGGACAUAGGAGUCUUUGCUCUCCAGGAGAGUGAAGGCUGUGUGGACCACAGAAGAGAUGGCGUCCUCUGUGGAUCUGUUUUCCCUGUAUGCAUUAUGAUGGGGGUCCACAGGGACGUCGAUAAUGUCCUUGAUGUGAGUCCUGACCAGGAGCACAUCAGGGUAAGCGCUACUGGCCAAUCACUGUGGAGCCUUUGGGGAUGGGGAUGAUGGUGGCAGUCUUCAGACAGGUUGGGACAACUGACUGCCACCUGAGGGAGGUGUUGAAGAUGUCUGUGAACACAUCUAACAGUUGGUCAGCACAGCCUUUCAGCGCCCGCCCAGGGAUGUUAUCGGGAUCGGCAUCUUUGACCAUACUGACUAUACCUCGUCUGGAGUUGCAGCUCUAUCUGGAGCCCAGGUAAUUAAACUCAUCAAGACUGAACUUACAGUCCCAACUGACCAUUCUGUGAUACUAACAUGGCUUUACUCUGAGUCUUGCAGGUAUAAAGCUUUUGUUGCCAACAGAAUUGUGAGCUACUCGAACUAACCUCAAGGUGUUUGUUUCAUGGUCGUAGAGGACGUCCCUAUGAGCUACUCUUGGACUGUGGCACCAACUUCAAAGGAGGAAACAGAGAGCUAAAGGAUGACUUUGAAGCCAUCAAUCUCCGCCUGAGAGAACAGCUAAGUAAACACCAAAUACAGCUUGACUUUAAUCAUCCAAAUGCCCCUCACUUUGGCCAAAUGUGGGAAAGAGAAAUAAGGUCCAUUAAAUCUGCUAUCAGGGUGGUGGUGGGCUGCUGCUGAGGAAGUGCUAAACACGGUCCUUGUUGUAAUAGAAGGGAUUUUAAAUUCCAAACAAAUUGGCUACGCAUCCUCUGCUAUAGCAGAUGGUUAUCCUAUUACACCAAAUGUCCUCCUCAUUGCUGGCUGAUCAAUUUUGGUUAAUAAAUAUCUAAACCAACGUAGAGGUGAAUACCUCCACGCAGUGUGUAGGAAUGUGUUAACUAGCUCUGCAUCAAUCCGUUACGUGGAAUCGAUUUGCCUUGACUUGAUGUGCAGGGUAACCAAUCAGGUGUUGACUUGACUUGACUUUGAUGGCCGAGUUUGACAGAUAAAAUAAAUUCAUGAUGCACUGCAACGGACCAUGAAAUAAUUAAUUAAAUUGUGAAAUAAUGAUAUGUUUUUUACAUAAAAUGUAUUGGUAUUUUAAUUAAAUUAAAUUAAAGGUAUUUAAUUCCAAUUUUAAUUAUUUAAUGACACAUUUAAGUAAUUAUUUAAUGGUGCAUUUAUUUAUUUAAUUUUGGCACUUUCCGUCCUCCACAGUUUACAUUGGCUCUGUAUCCAUAAAUAUGAUGAGCUACCACCAAAGAACUUCAAUGACAUCUGCUCUUACUUUUGAUAAAGGUGAUGGUCUUGGGUCUUGUGGUAUAAAACGUGCAAGCAGAACCAUCAGCAUGUGAUUUUAAUUUUCUUAUUCACAUUCAUUAUAUUACAGUCAGUUACCAGAUAGUUUUAUCCAAAGAUUACAAUAAGUAAUCAGUAGUGUAACGACACCCCCUUUGCACCUGUGUGCGUGUGUGUGUGUGUGCGUGUGCGUGCGUGUGUGUGUGUGCGUGCGUGUGUGUGUGUGUGUGUGUGUUUGUGUUUGUCAUAAAUAUUAAAUGAUGGUAUAUUCUUUUUUCCAGAAUGCAUAGACAAUAUGCAGUUUGGGGACCCUUCACAUAUCUCAGUAACCGUGGUUGGUUUUCCUAUACCCUGUACAGUAUCCUGUAUCCUGUAUUAUUAUAUUGUAUUUUAUUUUAUUUUAUUUUUAUGUUUGCAUUUGUAUGUAUUUGUAGUAUUAUUAUUAUUGUUGUUACUGUUGUUGUUGUUAUUCUUAUUCUUAUUAUACUGUAUAUUACCCUUUUAUUUUGAAUAGCAUGCUCCUCCCUUAGUUCAUCGUGUUCUUUGGUGUUGUGGAAAAUUUAGAUUUACCUCCUCAUUAAGAUAAUGUUGAAUUUUUGAACUCCCUUUCUACAUUUGGUUAUUUAUGUUGCUUCCCCCUCCCUAACAAGCCGGGGUCGUAAGAUAAGUGGGUGCUGAUAUCUCCACCUUCCUCACCUGGACCAUCUCUGCUGAUUAGGUCACCUUCUACAUCACCUCAAGAUGCCAAAGCUUAAACAUGCUUGACGAAGCUCAUCAAGAAGCCUGGAAGGAAGAUUGUUAUGGAUGUGCAAUCAGACACCCCAGUAAGGAACAAGACUGUCUGUGGCUAUAUUCGGAUGACUACUUUCCACGUACAUUUGAUCGAAUCAUAGGAAAAUUGUGGACGGUACGGUUCAUUCCGUCUAUCCAGGUUUUCUUAAGAUCAAUCGAUGUUCACGUAUGUGAUGACAUCACAACCCGAGAUCAUAGAAAAAAUGUACGAAAUGUACAUGAUCAGCGGCAACUCUACAAAAAUGGCAUGGUCAACCAAUACUGGAAAGAGGUAGAUCAGUACAGUGUGUAUAAAAAUAUCAUCGUAUUUCCCUUAAAAAUGUGUGCGUGAAUUUGUUUUGAAUGUUUGUUUAUUUUCUAUGUUCAAAUAAAAGUGGUUGUAUUGUA
This is a long non-coding RNA of Solea solea (common sole), 4188 nucleotides long. RefSeq lists it as uncharacterized. NCBI's taxonomy places the organism in Eukaryota, Metazoa, Chordata, Actinopteri, Pleuronectiformes, Soleidae. The transcript has 2 exons. The record is from RefSeq and is a predicted model, not a curated record.